CCUACGGGAGGCUGCAGUGAGGAAUAUUGGUCAAUGGACGAGAGUCUGAACCAGCCAAGUAGCGUGAAGGAUGACUGCCCUAUGGUUUGUAAACUUCUUUUAUAUGGGAAUAAAACGUUCCACGUGUGGGAUUUUGUAUGUACCAUAUGAAUAAGGAUCGGCUAACUCCGUGCCAGCAGCCGCGGUAAUACGGAGGGUCCGAGCGUUAUCCGGAUUUAUUGGGUUUAAAGGGAGCGUAGGUGGAUUGUUAAGUCAGUUGUGAAAGUUUGCGGCUCAACCGUAAAAUUGCAGUUGAAACUGGCAGUCUUGAGUACAGUAGAGGUGGGCGGAAUUCGUGGUGUAGCGGUGAAAUGCUUAGAUAUCACGAAGAAUUCCGAUUGCGAAGGCAGUUCACUGGACUGCAACUGACACUGAGGCUCGAAAGUGUGGGUAUCAAACAGGAUUAGAUACCCGUGUAAUC
This 460-nucleotide ribosomal RNA is filed under the name uncultured bacterium. Its description in RNAcentral is "partial 16S ribosomal RNA". It matches the Rfam family "Bacterial small subunit ribosomal RNA", at positions 338 to 795 of the family's 1533-position model. The record is from RNAcentral.